RNAcentral lists this long non-coding RNA (285 nucleotides) under Linum usitatissimum (flax). Its description in RNAcentral is "long non-coding RNA (LUSI_LNC004863)". The record is from RNAcentral. Lineage: Eukaryota; Viridiplantae; Streptophyta; Magnoliopsida; Malpighiales; Linaceae.
CAAAUCAGUUUCAAUAAAAACAUAAUUAAAAGAAAAUCCUAUCACCAAUAAAAUUCUGUAUAUAUAGAAACAAAAAAUGGUAGCAAAAGUUAAAAAAUGGGUAUGAUAAGCUGCAACCAUGGAGUUAAAAAGAAAUGGCAGAUGGGUUGGAUACAGAGGAAGAAGCCAAUUCUUCCAACUCCUGGAAUUCUAUCAAGCAAGUGGUCUAUCAAUUUCUUGCACUUCCUUCAACUUUAUUUGCUUGCCCUACCCAAACCCAAAACCCUUUUUGCCUAAAAGAAGUAA